RNAcentral lists this ribosomal RNA (502 nucleotides) under uncultured bacterium. RNAcentral's name for it is "partial 16S ribosomal RNA". It matches the Rfam family "Bacterial small subunit ribosomal RNA", at positions 899 to 1397 of the family's 1533-position model. The record is from RNAcentral.
ACUCAAAUGAAUUGACGGGGGCCCGCACAAGCGGUGGAGUAUGUGGUUUAAUUCGACGCAACGCGAAGAACCUUACCAGCCUUUGACAUGUCCACUAUGGACCUGAGAGAUCAGGUCCUUCACUUCGGGUGGGUGGAACACAGGUGCUGCAUGGCUGUCGUCAGCUCGUGUCGUGAGAUGUUGGGUUAAGUCCCGCAACGAGCGCAACCCUCAUCUUCAGUUGCCCACGGGUCAGGCCGGGCACUCUGAAGAAACUGCCGGUGACAAGCCGGAGGAAGGCGGGGAUGACGUCAAGUCCUCAUGGCCCUUACAGGCUGGGCUACACACGUACUACAAUGGUGGUGACAAUGGGCAGCGAAGUCGCGAGACGGAGCCAAUCCCCAAAAACCAUCUCAGUUCAGAUUGCACUCUGCAACUCGAGUGCAUGAAGUUGGAAUCGCUAGUAAUCGCAGAUCAGCACGCUGCGGUGAAUACGUUCCCGGGCCUUGUACACACCGCCCGU